Molecule: long non-coding RNA, 646 nt
Organism: Apis cerana (Asiatic honeybee)
Lineage: Eukaryota; Metazoa; Arthropoda; Insecta; Hymenoptera; Apidae
Source: RefSeq, a predicted model, not a curated record
CCGGAUUCGGCUUCGCCGAUGCGGCGAGACACGGCGACACAACGUAGAAAUAAACGCACCGAUACAAACAAACCGUCCCGCGGGAUGUCCACGAUUGUCGUGGAGAGGUCGAAACGAGUCCUUCAAAUUCCCUAAUAGAUAGGCCGACUAUAAUCUUUGAACGGCUUCUCUCUUCAUGAAAAACGUACGUAUCGUAGGAUGCCGGCACACGGCCGACAGAGCGUGCACUCGCGUGUCCGCGCUCCGCAUAUCCGCUCCCAUGUCCUGGUAUAGCUGCUUAUAUACCGCGGUUAAAAACAAUGCGAGGAAACGAGCCAUCUUUUCCUGCUAUGGAAAAGGAGCGGAGAACUGCACCUCCGUCCGUCCGUCCGUCCGUCCGUCCGCUCAUCACAAGUUCCAUCGUGCAACGGAACGAUCCGAACUACGCGAGAAAUCGACGCGUUUCUAUCAGGGAUGAGUGGAAAUUUGUGAAUCCACGGCUUUAUAAGAUGUUAAAAACUCAAAAUAUUUAAUUAUUUCUUUUUUGAUGAGAUAAUUGUGAAUAAUAAUUAAGAAAUAAUUAAUUUUUACAUUUUCUUUUAUAAUAUAAUAAUAAAAUUAUGAGAUUAGGAAUUAUUAAUUAAAAUAAAUUUUUUAAAUAUCUAAA